This 449-nucleotide ribosomal RNA is filed under the name uncultured bacterium. Its description in RNAcentral is "partial 16S ribosomal RNA". It matches the Rfam family "Bacterial small subunit ribosomal RNA", at positions 29 to 523 of the family's 1533-position model. The record is from RNAcentral.
AACGAACGCUGGCGGCAUGCCUAACACAUGCAAGUCGAACGGACCCUUCGGGGUUAGUGGCGCACGGGUGCGUAACGCGUGGGAAUCUGCCCUUUGGUACGGAAUAACGCUUCGAAAGGAGUGCUAAUACUGUAUGACGUCUUCGGACCAAAGGUUUAUCGCCUGAGGAUGAGCCCGCGUUGGAUUAGCUAGUUGGUGGGGUAAAGGCCCACCAAGGCGACGAUCCAUAGCUGGUCUGAGAGGAUGAUCAGCCACACUGGGACUGAGACACGGCCCAGACUCCUACGGGAGGCAGCAGUGGGGAAUAUUGGACAAUGGGCGCAAGCCUGAUCCAGCAAUGCCGCGUGAGUGAUGAAGGCCUUAGGGUUGUACAGCUCUUUUACCCGGGAAGAUAAUGACUGUACCGGGAGAAUAAGCCCCGGCUAACUCCGUGCCAGCCGCCGCGGUAA